GAUCUCAUCUUCCAAGUUUCUGAAACCCUUAAAGACCCCAAAAAAACCGAUUAAAAAAAAACCGUACACCACCCCGGUCCUCCCCUCACUCUCUCUCUCUCUCUCUCCCCUGCUCUUUCUUCCUUCUUCUCUCUCAUAGCCACUGCACGCCACACCGCCUUCCUCUCACCUACUGCCGCCAUCGCGACGGUCACCUCUUCACUCACGGCGCCACUGCCGCCGGCCCAUUUCCUUCAUUCAACCACCAGCGCACUACUUGCCGGCAAAGCCUCUUCACGGAUAGUCAUCAUGUCGCCACAGCGGUGCCGGUCCCUCGCCCACCAACUGCCACCUCCAUCUUCGCCACCGUGGCAGCCUCCAGCCACGUCACCACUGCCUUGUUCUUCAUCAUAGGAAGAAAUAUUUGGGCAAGUCUUGACAGAAUUGGAUUUUGGACUUCUUUCGGGCUCUCCAAUGGAUAGGAGAGAGCAAUCAGCAGAGAAUUUGGAGUGGCUCGGAAGAGUCUAGACCAAGAUUCUCAACGGUUGACGGAGAAGACCAUGAAGUGAGUAUAUGAAAAAGGGCUUAGUUGAGAUGUCAGGAGAAAGAGAAGGAUAUUCGGGAGAAUAGGUGAGAGAGAAAAGAGGUAUCGGUUUUUCUCUCCAUCAGACAAGUGUCCGUCAAGCUUAAGGGGUUAAGAGGGGCUUAAGAGGGGAGAAGCACGGUUAUCUCCUUCUAUAUUAGAUUUUUUCUUUCAUAUAUUUCUCAUGGAUCAAGAUCCCUUGAACAAUAUAAAGUAAGGUUGGUCGCAAAGGAAUACAUACAAACAUAUGAAGUGGACUAUCAAGGAACUUUUGCAUCGGUAGCAAUGAUGAAUAUAGUGAGGAUUUUAUUGUCUUUAGCAACUCAUUUUGAUUGGGAUUUACUACAAGUUGAUGUAAAGAAUGCCUUUCUCCAUGUUGAAAUUGAUGAAGAAAUCUAUAUGGAAGUUUUUCCCAAUUUUGGGGAAAGUUUAGAUAAGAAUAAAAUGUGUAAAUUGAAGACAUUGUGUCAAAUUAUUAGGAGUUUGUUGUUAUACUUUUUGUUAUUUGUUUCCAAUAAAUCUGAACUAAUUACUGUCCAAUCUCAAAUAUCUAGGUAUUUUGAUAGUAAGGUCCUAAAGUUGUGCUUGU
Molecule: long non-coding RNA, 1151 nt
Organism: Vitis riparia (riverbank grape)
Lineage: Eukaryota; Viridiplantae; Streptophyta; Magnoliopsida; Vitales; Vitaceae
Exons: 4
Source: RefSeq, a predicted model, not a curated record